AGAAUCAACGCUGGCGGCGUGCCUAACACAUGCAAGUCGCACGAGAAAGGGGAGCAAUCCCUGAGUAAAGUGGCGCACGGGUGAGUAACACGUGAAUCAUCUACCUCCGAGUGGGGAAUAACCUAGAGAAAUCUGGGCUAAUACCGCAUAACACUUACGAGUCAAAGCAGCAAUGCGCUUGGAGAGGAGUUCGCGGCCGAUUAGCUAGUUGGCGGGGUAAUGGCCCACCAAGGCGAUGAUCGGUAUCCGGCCUGAGAGGGCGCACGGACACACUGGAACUGAAACACGGUCCAGACUCCUACGGGAGGCAGCAGUGGGGAAUUUUGCGCAAUGGGGGAAACCCUGACGCAGCAACGCCGCGUGGAGGAUGAAGUAUCUUGGUACGUAAACUCCUUUCGAUGGGGAAGAUAAUGACGGUACCCAUAGAAGAAGCCCCGGCUAACUUCGUGCCAGCAGCCGC
This 460-nucleotide ribosomal RNA is filed under the name uncultured bacterium. Its description in RNAcentral is "SSU rRNA". It matches the Rfam family "Bacterial small subunit ribosomal RNA", at positions 26 to 518 of the family's 1533-position model. The record is from RNAcentral.